Molecule: transfer RNA, 66 nt
Filed under: Ectropis obliqua
Lineage: Eukaryota; Metazoa; Arthropoda; Insecta; Lepidoptera; Geometridae
Description: tRNA-Ser
Source: RNAcentral
AAUUAAUGAGCUUGUAUAAGCAUUUGUUUUGAAAACAAAAGAAAGAAUAUUACAUUCUAUUAAUUU